Molecule: ribosomal RNA, 483 nt
Filed under: uncultured bacterium
Lineage: Bacteria
Description: partial 16S ribosomal RNA
Rfam family: Bacterial small subunit ribosomal RNA
Source: RNAcentral
AUUGAACGCUGGCGGCAUGCUUUACACAUGCAAGUCGAACGGUAACAGGGAGCUUGCUCCGCUGACGAGUGGCGAACGGGUGAGUAAUAUAUCAGAACGUACCCAAGCGUGGGGGAUAACGUAGCGAAAGUUACGCUAAUACCGCAUACGAUCUAUGGAUGAAAGCAGGCGACCUUCGGGCCUUUUGCUCCUGUAGCGGCAGAUAUCUGAUUGGCUGGUUGGGGAGGUAAAGGCUCAUCAAGGCGAGGAUCAGUAGCUGGUCUGAGAGGACGACCAGCCACCGUGGAAUGGAGACACGGUCCAGACCCGUACGGGAGGCACGGGGGGGGAAUUUAGGAGAGGGGGCGGAAGCGUAAUCUGGAAAAGCCGCGUGAGGUAAAAAGGCUUUCGGGUGGGAAGUCUCUUUUGUCAGGAAAGGGGCAGGAUGGGCUACAAUCCAGCCUUAUUGAAGGUACCGGAAGAAUAAGCACCGGCAAACUCCGU